AACAUUAGUAUGAUCACCUGUUGCCUGCUAUGCACACACCACUGUACUGGCUCUGCUGAGACUCUGGUUUCAUGGAGAAGUUCCAUUCAGAGCUGGAUCCUGCAUCUUUUUAGCCAGAUAUGAGAAUUCAAAGACAGGUAUAGAGCUUUACCUGCUUGAUUGCUUACCCUUCUAUGCAUGUGUUUCCCCACAGUGCCGCUAAAAUUUUAC
RNAcentral lists this long non-coding RNA (210 nucleotides) under Bos taurus (domestic cattle). RNAcentral's name for it is "long non-coding RNA NONBTAT007328". The record is from RNAcentral. Lineage: Eukaryota; Metazoa; Chordata; Mammalia; Artiodactyla; Bovidae.